GUUUCUGUAGUGUAGUGGUUAUCACGUUCGCCUAACACGCGAAAGGUCCAGGUUCGAAACCGGGCAGAAGAACA
RNAcentral lists this transfer RNA (74 nucleotides) under Merluccius polli (Benguela hake). RNAcentral describes it as "tRNA-Val". It matches the Rfam family "tRNA". From Rfam's summary of the family: Transfer RNA (tRNA) molecules are approximately 80 nucleotides in length. Their secondary structure includes four short double-helical elements and three loops (D, anti-codon, and T loops). Lineage: Eukaryota; Metazoa; Chordata; Actinopteri; Gadiformes; Merlucciidae. The record is from RNAcentral.